AGGGGACCUGCGGAAGGAUCAUUAAUGAAAUGAAUGUUGAGAAAGGUUGUAGCUAGCCUUUUGGGGUAUGUGCACACCUUGAUCACACAUCCACCUCUCACACCUGGUGCACUAUGUGUAGCUUGGGAUGAUUACAAUGUUAGAAAUGAUAUUGAAAGCCCUAGCUAUGAAUUAUACCUACAAAGUUAUAGAAUGGAUAAUGUUAUAAUAGCGCAAAUAUACAACUUUCAGCAACGGAUCUCUUGGCUCUCGCAUCGAUGAAGAACGCAGCGAAAUGCGAUAAGUAAUGUGAAUUGCAGAAUUCAGUGAAUCAUCGAAUCUUUGAACGCACCUUGCGCUCCUUGGUAUUCCGAGGAGCAUGCCUGUUUGAGUGUCAUGAAAUUCUCAACUGCCUUUUAGCAUUUAUGUUAAGGUGAAGUUGGAGUUGGAGGAUAACUGCUGGCGCAACUUAGGUUGCUUGUUAGCUCCUCUUAAAUGGAUAAGCUUUUCUGAUAGAUUAUAGCUCAGUAAUAUUAAUGUGAUAAUGAUCUACAUUAUAUGUGAAAGCUAUAAGUAGAGUAACUUGAGAAGCUCUCUAUAGAAAGGGUAUAAUAACUUGACAAAUCUGACCUCAAAUCAGGUAGGACUACCCGCUGAACUUAAGCAUAUCAAUAGGCCGGAGGAAA
This 665-nucleotide ribosomal RNA is filed under the name uncultured fungus. Its description in RNAcentral is "eukaryotic LSU rRNA". The stretch from base 223 to 376 matches the Rfam family "5.8S ribosomal RNA". Lineage: Eukaryota; Fungi. The record is from RNAcentral.